Molecule: ribosomal RNA, 189 nt
Filed under: Mirandea hyssopus
Lineage: Eukaryota; Viridiplantae; Streptophyta; Magnoliopsida; Lamiales; Acanthaceae
Description: 5.8S ribosomal RNA
Rfam family: 5.8S ribosomal RNA (bases 1-79)
Source: RNAcentral
AAUCCCGUGAACCAUCGAGUCUUUGAACGCAAGUUGCGCCCGANGCCUUCGGGCCGAGGGCACGCCUGCCUGGGCGUCACGCAUCGCGUCGCCCCCCGCCCCCGCGCCCUCUGCCCGAUCCGGGCGGGGCGCGGGCGCGGCGGGGGGCGGAGACUGGCCUCCCGUGCGCCUCCGUCGCGCGGCCGGCCC